Molecule: ribosomal RNA, 450 nt
Filed under: uncultured bacterium
Lineage: Bacteria
Description: partial 16S ribosomal RNA
Rfam family: Bacterial small subunit ribosomal RNA
Source: RNAcentral
GUGGGGAAUUUUGGACAAUGGGCGCAAGCCUGAUCCAGCCAUUCCGCGUGCAGGAUGAAGGCCUUCGGGUUGUAAACUGCUUUUGUACGGAACGAAAAGCCUCUGGUUAAUACCCGGGGGUCAUGACGGUACCGUAAGAAUAAGCACCGGCUAACUACGUGCCAGCAGCCGCGGUAAUACGUAGGGUGCGAGCGUUUAUCGGAAUUACUGGGCGUAAAGCGUGCGCAGGCGGGGAUGUAAGACAGUUGUGAAAUCCUCGGGCUCAACCUGGGAACUGCAUCUGUGACUGCAUUGCUGGAGUGCGGCAGAGGGGGAUGGAAUUCCGCGUGUAGCAGUGAAAUGCGUAGAUAUGCGGAGGAACACCGAUGGCGAAGGCAAUCCCCUGGGCCUGCACUGACGCUCAUGCACGAAAGCGAGGGGAGAAAACAGGAUUAGAUACCCGGGUAGUCC